This 137-nucleotide ribosomal RNA is filed under the name Mycochaetophora sp. RNAcentral's name for it is "partial large subunit ribosomal RNA". It matches the Rfam family "Eukaryotic large subunit ribosomal RNA", at positions 99 to 233 of the family's 3401-position model. Lineage: Eukaryota; Fungi; Ascomycota; Leotiomycetes; Helotiales. The record is from RNAcentral.
CGGUAACAGCUCAAAUUUGAAAGCUAGCUCUUUUAGGGUUCGCAUUGUAAUUUGUAGAAGAUGCUUCGGGUGUGGCUCCGGUCUAAGUUCCUUGGAACAGGACGUCAUAGAGGGUGAGAAUCCCGUCCUUGACAUGG